UUGUAGAAUUUAUAAUCAGCCUAAUUUUACAACUCUCGUGAGAAAAUUAUGUAGUUCAAUACUUUAUAUUUUAUUUUUGUAAAAUUUCGCAUCUCAAUGAAUGUGUUUUGUAAAGAACAAAUUCUCCAAGUCUUCCAAAGGUUUUAUCGUUUGGUUUCUAAUGAAAUAUCCUAAAUUAUCCUUGGUUGUAGGGUUAAUUAUUAGUUUCGUAGUAAUCUCGACGUGGUUAUCGAGAGGUUUGUGUUUGCAUCAUUCCCAUGUCAUAUACCCAUUAUUCCAUGCUGAAAGUCCUGUCACAGAUAUCAGUGAUGGCUCAGUUAACACACUGCAUCUGUUAUUGCAACAAAACAGUAUCUCAUUGGUCAUGUUUUAUGCUCAAUGGUGUUCAAAGUCCGCUAAGUUGGUCUAUCAUUUCCACAGAGCAUCCAAAAAGUUUCGAGGGCAGGUCUCCUUCCUUGCAAUAAACUGUUGGACUGGUUCAUGCAGACAGCAUAAUUUUCCAAAAUCCUAUCCAUUAAUAUACCUUUAUCAUAUGAAAUAUGAACCUUUAGAAUAUCAGGGAAGACAAAAAUUUACAGA
Dendronephthya gigantea is the source of this 579-nucleotide long non-coding RNA. RefSeq lists it as uncharacterized. Lineage: Eukaryota; Metazoa; Cnidaria; Anthozoa; Malacalcyonacea; Nephtheidae. The record is from RefSeq and is a predicted model, not a curated record. The transcript is spliced from 3 exons.